UGCGGUUAAACAAAUAAUACAACUAUUUUUUUUCGGUUUGUUUAAUUUAGUUAAUAAAAGUUUUAUUUUUAUUUAGUGGAAUAUUGGGUGAAAUCCUAUUUUCUAUUUAAUUAGGUUUUUGAUAUUUGAGGCUAAGAAAUCUAGGUCUUAAACUGGGAUUAGAUACCCCAUUAUUCUGGACGUGAAAAUUGAAAACCUAAUUAGUAUAAGUUAUGUUCUUUAAAAUUAAUAAAUUUGGCGGUGUUUUAUUCCGAUCAGGGGAAUCUGUUCUGUAAUCGAUAAUCCACGAUUAAUAUAACUUGUUUUAUGCUUGUAUAUCGUCGUUGUUAAUUAUUUUUAGAAUAUAUAAUUUUAUAUUUUAUUUUAUGUUAAAUCAGAUCAAGGUGCAGUUUUUAACAAGUAGAAAUGGAUUACAAUGAAUUUAUUUUAGGAUUAGCUUUAUAAUUAAGGUUAUGAAUUUGGAUUUGAAUGUAAUUUUAAUUGUUUAUUAAAGUGAAUUAGGCUCUAAAAUGUGU
This 515-nucleotide ribosomal RNA is filed under the name Taophila sp. JGZ09-2021. RNAcentral describes it as "partial 12S ribosomal RNA". The record is from RNAcentral. Lineage: Eukaryota; Metazoa; Arthropoda; Insecta; Coleoptera; Chrysomelidae.